GACCCCACUUCUUCCUCGUCUCUCCCAGACCUCAGUAUCGGUAUCAGCAUCAGCAUCUUUUAGAAACCCGCCUUUUGGCUUCUGCAGCUGCAACUUCUCUCCUCCGCACCAACAAGAAGGAGCAUCUGCUCAUAGAUCUCCCCUUGCUGCUAUAAUGGCGGAGCCGACCAAGUACGUUUCGCGGCAAGGCCUCAGCCAACACAACAAGAGGGGAGAUCUUUGGAUCUCUAUACAGGGCAAGAUCUAUGAUGUCUCUCGUUGGGUUGAUGACCACCCUGGCGGUGAGCUUCCAUUGUUCAAUCUCGCUGGCCAGGAUGUUACGAACGCCUUUCUUGCUUUCCACCCGGGCUCUGCAUGGCAAUACCUCGACAGGUUCUUCACCGGGUAUUAUCUCCAGGACUACACCACAUCUGAUGUGUCUAAGGAUUAUCGGAAACUUGUGUACGAGUUCUCCAAAAUGGGUUUAUUUGAAAAGAAAGGGCACGGGGUGUUCUUCACUUUGUCGUUCAUGGCAGUUCUGUUUUGUGUUUGUGUUUAUGGUGUUUUGUGCUGUACUAGCCCAUGGGUCCACUUUGGUUGCGGGGGGCUGAUGGGACUCUUGUGGAUUCAGAGCGGGUGGAUUGGGCAUGACUCUGGGCACUAUCAAGUAAUGACGAGUCGGGGAUUCAAUCGGCUCGCUCAGAUCCUUACUGGGAAUUGCCUUGCAGGGAUCAGUAUUGGGUGGUGGAAAUGGAACCACAAUGCUCACCACAUUGCUGUUAACAAUCUCGAAUUCGAUCCUGAUCUUCAGCACAUGCCCUUUUUUGUGGUGUCUUCGAAAUUUUUCAACUCCCUUACUUCUUACUUUUACGGGCGGAAGAUGAACUUCGAUUCUGUAACCAGAUUCUUGGUUAGCUAUCAGCAUUGGACGUUUUAUCCUGUAAUGUGCUUUGCAAGAGUAAACUUAUUCGCCCAAUCGUUCAUGUUAUUGUUGUCAAAGAGGAAGGUGCCCAAUAGAGGUCAAGAGCUUCUGGGGCUGCUUGUUUUCUGGAUUUGGUAUCCCCUGCUGGUUUCCUGUUUACCCAAUUGGUGUGAAAGAAUAUUGUUUGUCAUUGUUAGUUUUUCUGUCACGGGAAUACAACAUGUCCAGUUCUGUUUGAAUCAUUUCUCUACCAGUGUCUGUGUCGGCCAACCAAACUCCAAUGAUUGGUUUGAAAAGCAGACCAGUGGGACGCUUGAUUUAAAGUGCUCAGCUUGGAUGGAUUGGUUUCAUGGUGGACUGCAAUUUCAGGUGGCACACCAUCUGUUUCCCAGGAUUCCCCGGUGCCAUCUGAGGAAAAUCUCGCCUUUGGUUAUAGAGCUAUGCAGAAAACAUGAUUUGCCUUACAAUUGCGUGUCAUUCUGGAAAGCCAAUGCACUGACAUUUCAGACACUCCGCGAUGCAGCCUUGCAAGCCCGCGAUCUCUCAAAUCCCAUGCCCAAAAAUUUAGUUUGGGAAGCCGUCAACACUCACGGAUAAGUGAACUCUGGAGCUUCCAGAGAUUUUGCUGUCAUGUUCAUCUGAGGGUGAGUCGUUUUGACAUCUGAGGGUGAUUUUUGAGAAAGAAUAAUUGUUACGCACUUUUUUUGGAGGCUUCUAUCUCAUUUAUGAUAUAGGUCAAAAUUACUGAUACCCAUCACUUGCAGGUAAGAAUUCUGGUGGAAAGUAGGGGAAAAGCAGGUGAGGAGUGAGUUAUUGUUGAGCUCGGCAUAUUCAUGCUUGGCACGUGUCCUUGUAGUGUUUUAUAAUUAUUUUCCCAUGAUAUAGCUUUUAAAUGUUAAACUUAUAUUUUCGAGCAUUUGUAUGAAUCAAUUAUGAUGUUUUAGAUUUUGGAUGGAGGCCUUACUUAUAAUGGACUGAGAAGGAUUUGACAUUAUUGAUAGGUAGAGCCCGCUUGCCUUUGUGGUAUUAUUUUCUGACAGUGAUAGACAUAUAUGAAUGAAAUGCAAUGUAUUAUACAGCAAAUGUUUGAA
Prosopis cineraria is the source of this 1992-nucleotide RNA transcript. It is a transcript of the gene named acyl-lipid (9-3)-desaturase-like, with no coding region annotated. NCBI's taxonomy places the organism in Eukaryota, Viridiplantae, Streptophyta, Magnoliopsida, Fabales, Fabaceae. The transcript is spliced from 2 exons. The record is from RefSeq and is a predicted model, not a curated record.